AGAAAAUUGAUUUCGACAGACUAACAGACGGAAGGACGGACGGACGGACGAACAGAUGGACAUGGCUUAAUCUACUCCGCUACUUUUUAGAGUCGAAAAAUUAUAUUGUGGAAGUUACAAACGUAAUGAUAAACUUAUAUAUCUAACGAAGGGUACAGUUUAAUAAGGUGAAAGUAGUGUUAACUAACAUUUAUCUUUUCGUAUUUGCACAUUAUCAUAUUCUAACUGAUAAAAAUUUAGAUUUUCACCACAAAAUAAGGACGUUUCUAUUAUUUUUACCACCACUGUAAAUACAUUUUUAAUCACUAAAGAUUUUUUUUGCAUGUAUGUAUGUAUGUAUAUAUAUAUAUUUUUUUUAAAGUUUAAUACAUUCAUAAACUACAGAGAUAAGAACACAAAAUUGCAAGCAAAAAUAACUCCAAGAUAAAUAAAAUAAAUUUAAAUUGAAAAAUUAUUUUUUCUUUUCGUAUUUGCACAUUCUGGGAGGCGUUUCUACGGCAGAAGGUAGAGUUUUUAUUCUCUGGACUUUAUACAAUAUUGACUUAAACACCUCUAUAAGUCUUCUUAGAUCAGUAAAACAAAAAUAUAUCAACAGAUUUUGGGUGAUCUUGAGUCAAGACAUACGUUUAACUUUCAACGAUGGAACAAUAUCUUACAAACAUCGAUUUGCUGACACAUAUUUGUAAAUAUUUAAACUACGAAUAACAACAUAUUUUAUCACAAGUUUCUAGUGAAUUGAGAAAUAUUAUAGUGAAUUACGUGUGGAAAAUCUAAUUUAAAGAAACUCAAAUAAUUUUAAAUGAAGACGAUAUAAAUCGUUUAACAUUUGUAGUGUCGAAUACAACACAAACAUUUAUAAAACAUAUAACACUUUAUAAUGUUUAUAAUAACUAUAUUAAACAUGAUAUAUGGCGUCGAAAUAGUAGUUUUCUUAAAAGUAAAAACACAAAAACAUUUUUAAAUUUAAAUGCAAAUAAUAUAAAAAAAAAUUGCAACUGCUAGUGCAUCAAGAUCGUCAUGAUAAAUUUGGAAUUAUUAGGUAUGACUUGCCAUUUGGGCAAAAAUUUACAAAUCUUAGCGAACUAAGUUGUUGGAAAUUGAAAUUGGAAAAUAGCGACUUACAACAAAUAGCUGAGAAUUGUUUGAAAUUGGAAACAUUGAUCUUUGCAAAUUGCUACCAUCUAAAUGAUAGACCUUUGAAAAUUGGAAUUGAUAUUGAUAUUAAAAUUCUAAAAUUUCCCAAACGAAUUAAAAGUAUAAAUAUUUGCGGUAUUAUUAAAGAUUGUAACUCUAUUCGAAAUAAAUGCGUGGAAACUAGAAAACAAAUAAACGAUAUUUGCCAAUUCUAUAUAAAACAGUAUUGGCAAUCAUAUUUUAUACUUGAAAUGUAAAAUGUCUUUGAGAAAGACUUUUAAUGGCGUAUUAGAAAUAUGUACAGUGAAUCAAUUAAGUAAUUUGCCUAUGUAAAAUUUUAUAAAUUUUAAGAAAAAACUGAACAAUUAUUUAAGUAAAA
Molecule: long non-coding RNA, 1513 nt
Organism: Lucilia cuprina (Australian sheep blowfly)
Lineage: Eukaryota; Metazoa; Arthropoda; Insecta; Diptera; Calliphoridae
Exons: 2
Source: RefSeq, a predicted model, not a curated record